Molecule: non-coding RNA, 94 nt
Organism: Podarcis lilfordi (Lilford's wall lizard)
Lineage: Eukaryota; Metazoa; Chordata; Lepidosauria; Squamata; Lacertidae
Source: the annotation of a GenBank genome assembly
UGAAGCCUGGAGGCUUCAGGUUCCUUUCGCUGAAGCCAGGAGAGUCUUGCUCUCCUGGCUUAAGCGAAAGCAAACUGAAGCCUCCGGUGCGCGG